CCCUUAGAUGUUCGGGGCCGCACGCGCGCUACACUGAAGGAAUCAGCACGUCUUUCUCCUUGUCCGAAAGGACUGGGUAACCCGCUGAACCUCCUUCGUGCUAGGGAUUGGGGCUUGUAAUUCUUCCCCAUGAACGAGGAAUUCCCAGUAAGCGCGAGUCAUAAGCUCGCGUUGAUUACGUCCCUGCCCUUUGUACACACCGCCCGUCGCUACUACUGAUUGGAUGGUUUAGUGAGAUCCUCGGAUUGGUCCCGGAGCGGCCUCUGGUCGUGCCGGAGUGCCGAAAAGAAUGUCGAACUUGAUCAUCUAGAGGAAGUAAAAGUCGUAACA
Molecule: ribosomal RNA, 330 nt
Filed under: uncultured eukaryote
Lineage: Eukaryota
Description: partial 18S ribosomal RNA
Rfam family: Eukaryotic small subunit ribosomal RNA
Source: RNAcentral